UACGAAGGGGGCUAGCGUUGCUCGGAAUCACUGGGCGUAAAGCGCACGUAGGCGGAUUUUUAAGUCAGGGGUGAAAUCCUGGAGCUCAACUCCAGAACUGCCUUUGAUACUGAGAAGCUUGAGUCCGGGAGAGGUGAGUGGAACUGCGAGUGUAGAGGUGAAAUUCGUAGAUAUUCGCAAGAACACCAGUGGCGAAGGCGGCUCACUGGCCCGGUACUGACGCUGAGGUGCGAAAGCGUGGGGAGCAAACAGG
This 253-nucleotide ribosomal RNA is filed under the name uncultured bacterium. RNAcentral describes it as "partial 16S ribosomal RNA". It matches the Rfam family "Bacterial small subunit ribosomal RNA", at positions 524 to 776 of the family's 1533-position model. The record is from RNAcentral.